RNAcentral lists this ribosomal RNA (253 nucleotides) under uncultured bacterium. RNAcentral describes it as "partial 16S ribosomal RNA". It matches the Rfam family "Bacterial small subunit ribosomal RNA", at positions 524 to 776 of the family's 1533-position model. The record is from RNAcentral.
UACGUAGGGAGCAAGCGUUGUCCGGAAUCAUUGGGCGUAAAGCGCGCGUAGGUGGCUUCGUAAGUCCGUUGUGAAAGUCAAAGGCUCAACCUUUGAAAGCCGAUGGAUACUGUGAAGCUAGAGUACGGAAGAGGCGAGUGGAAUUCCUGGUGUAGCGGUGGAAUGCGCAGAUAUCAGGAGGAACACCAAUAGCGAAGGCGGCUCGCUGGGACGUUACUGACACUGAGGCGCGAAAGCGUGGGGAGCGAACAGG